This 590-nucleotide ribosomal RNA is filed under the name uncultured bacterium. RNAcentral describes it as "bacterial SSU rRNA". It matches the Rfam family "Bacterial small subunit ribosomal RNA", at positions 202 to 813 of the family's 1533-position model. The record is from RNAcentral.
AAAGAUUUAUCGGUGUAAGAUGGACCCGCGUCUGAUUAGCCAGUUGGUGGGGUAACGGCCUACCAAAGCGACGAUCAGUAGCCGACCUGAGAGGGUGACCGGCCACAUUGGGACUGAGACACGGCCCAAACUCCUACGGGAGGCAGCAGUGGGGAAUAUUGGACAAUGGCUGAAAGCCUGAUCCAGCGACGCCGCGUGGGCGAUGAAGUAUUUCGGUAUGUAAAGCUCUAUCAGCAGGGAAGAAAAUGACGGUACCUGACUAAGAAGCCCCGGCUAACUACGUGCCAGCAGCCGCGGUAAUACGUAGGGGGCAAGCGUUAUCCGGAUUUACUGGGUGUAAAGGGAGCGUAGACGGAAGUGCAAGUCAGAAGUGAAAGCCCGGGGCUUAACCCCGGGACUGCUUUUGAAACUGUGCAUCUAGAGUGCAGGAGAGGUAAGCGGAAUUCCUAGUGUAGCGGUGAAAUGCGUGGAUAUUAGGAGGAACACCGGUGGCGAAGGCGGCUUACUGGACUGUAACUGACGUUGAGGCUCGAAAGCGUGGGGAGCAAACAGGAUUAGAUACCCUGGUAGUCCACGCCGUAAACGAUGAA